Long non-coding RNA from Stomoxys calcitrans (stable fly), 1242 nucleotides. RefSeq lists it as uncharacterized. The record is from RefSeq and is a predicted model, not a curated record. Lineage: Eukaryota; Metazoa; Arthropoda; Insecta; Diptera; Muscidae. The transcript has 4 exons.
CUCCCGAAGGAACCCUGCUUUGCUUGGAGGGGAGGAAAUGAACUGACGGGCGCUGGCUGCUGGCGUUCGAGCACCGGCUGUGGCUCAGUCGAAAAGGGCGCGGUUCUUGCCAGUUCACCUCCUCCAAAGCAGGUGACAAAAAAACAAAAAUCAACCAGCUGAUGGAGGGACACUGAUACCUACACAACAACCAUGAACAAUACUAGACAGACACACACUACCAUGUUGACACCACUUAGCCUUCAGCUGGUGUCUGGACGCACCCACCCCACCAUGGUGCCCUCUUGCGUCAUAAUCUAUGAGGACACCCCAAAUACACCUGUUUGUCCUGGACCGCAAUAUGGGUCAUCGAAUCUUCUUUCUGGUCUCGCCUAGUGAUGGCCUUGAUGUCGGAGCUGGGAUUGCCUAGCUGUAGCACCAGUCCUGCAAUGGUACCGACCCUGCUUGUCGUCUACCCUAUUUCCUGUCCGUCCGUCUGAUGGAUGUUGUUGGUCAACGCUAAAACAAGGUGGACAUCUAUGAUGGAGCAAGGGCCCCCACGUACCUUUUACUGAAACCUUCCUGGCCUAUGGAAGUUUUGUGUCAGGUAGCUGUCUGUCCGUCCGUCUAAGUCAAGCGUAUUGUCCUGUUUUAUGUAUGGGAAAAGGGCUCUGAUAGAGGGUACCUUUGGCGUUGUCGGCUGACCAACGCUGUGCUGUUAUCGCCUGGUUGGCUGAUGUUCCAACGUCGGGACAGUGGAGGUGGAGUUUUGGGUUUUUUAAGUAUUUACUUUCUUCGUUUUAUCUUAUUUAUUUACAGAUAACUUUAUUUUCUUUUCUUUUCAGGUUAAUGUUUUUUUUUCUCUUUUCAGGUAUCGUUUUCUUUUCAGGUGUUUAGUGUUUUCUUCCCUUACAGGUUUUUACGUUCCUGUCUUUUUCGCCUUCUAACAACUUUCAAUUUUUAUCGUCUUUUAUUUCUUUAAGCAUUUUAAUGUUUUUAAUUUCCUUAUAGGUUUUAACUUCAGGUGCUUUACUUUUAUCAACAAUUUUGUUCGGAUUUUAGCCAAUGUUAAUUAUUCAUUUCUUUCGUUUCAGGUGUUAAUAUCUCUUUCUUUUCAGUCUUUUCUAAAACUUAACACAGCCAUUAAAUAUUCUUCAAAGCUUGUUUUUUAGUGUUUAAUUUUAAGUUCUUUUAUUUGCUUUUUAUCAAUUAGACAAACAAACGCUUUGAUAUUCAAUAAAACAACACUUUUUCACCGCGGUU